CAGGAAUGGAACGCAGAUUGACUUCCUAGCCGUGGAUGAUAACUAUAACUUUGAGAUGCAGGGGGCCAUCAACCUGGGGACCAUUAAGACCAUCAAACCGGGUGACGAGAUUGUGGUGGAGUGCACCUAUUACACAGCCAAUCGCAAAGGAG
Molecule: long non-coding RNA, 152 nt
Organism: Coregonus clupeaformis (lake whitefish)
Lineage: Eukaryota; Metazoa; Chordata; Actinopteri; Salmoniformes; Salmonidae
Exons: 2
Source: RefSeq, a predicted model, not a curated record